This is a long non-coding RNA of Megalobrama amblycephala (Wuchang bream), 4032 nucleotides long. RefSeq lists it as uncharacterized. NCBI's taxonomy places the organism in Eukaryota, Metazoa, Chordata, Actinopteri, Cypriniformes, Xenocyprididae. The record is from RefSeq and is a predicted model, not a curated record. The transcript is spliced from 6 exons.
GGCCUUCCUCUGGUAAUUGUAGCUGCUGUCACCAUAGACUUUAACAGGGCGCGCAGCUGUGACCGGUCCCAAAGAUGGCGGCGAUAGAAUACAGUGACGUCACAUGAAACCCAUGUAUACCUGGGUGUUGUUCAGGUACAGCAGUUUAUGUUCAAAUUUUGAUGUUAGAUAAACUAGUAUUGUUAUGACCAGUAGGUGUUGCUGUCACCAAACCAAUGAGAACUACAACCUAUUUUCAAUAGGAAAAAGUGUUGCAUCAUAUGCAUUAUAACUUUUCAGUAACACAUCAACUUUGUUAGGCUUGGCUAAUGGUGGACAGUGCUGUGAAAAACAGUUAACAUGUUAUACUUCAGAAUAGUAAACAAUAAUCAAUCUCAAAGACUUAAUCUCAAGACUCAAGCAUUAUAGACCAUAUUUGUGAAUAACUUGAAGAAGAAGAAAGUCAUAUACAUUUGAAAUUUUCAUUUGAAAGUGAACUAAUGCUUUAACAGAGAUGGGAAUCACUGUUAGACAUUUCUGUAAUUUCUACAGUUAUUUACCAUAUAUCACCUAGUAUUAUACUGCUAAUUCGAUCUCUUUACAGUUAAUAACUGUGAUUCCCUUUGCAUUAUGGGAAUUUUCUGUGACGUCAAGCACCACAUACAGUGAUUUACUGUAUUUUUAAAAUUUGCAGUAUACUACUGUAUUUGCUGUAACGGAUCCUCUGGCUCCAUUCCGUCGUGUUUUUUAUUUUCCUAUUUUUGUACAUUUGGUUUGACAUGUUUCGCCUCACACCGUGUGUCUACAACGCUAACAGCCCGCGGCUGUCUAUAUUGGACACACCGGACCUUUACAAAAUGCAAACCUUGUGUCAGAAAUAGCGCGAGCGCUUGGACUCGGAGUACUGUACAUAUAACGGGGCAUCAUACUGUCUCUGUCUGGGAUUUGUCGUGUCGCGACGGAGCAUUCAGUGCAAACAGUGAAUGAAUUGGGUUCUGACUUUUGUUGGAUCGCGUCGUUCGCGUCCGAGGUAGAGACGGAAUCAGCGUGGCAGCGCCACAGUCUGCGGCUCAUGGUGUACCGAUGCACCCCAUGAAGACUUCUCCCCGAGAGAGAGAGACCAGCAAGCAAGGUCUCAACUGCACCAAAGCGCCGGUGACUGCUAGCAAGAUUUCUGAGCAAAUGAAGCAAUCAGAAGAUGGACCAUUUUCUAUGUUAUGUCUCACCAGAUUACAUUUAUCCAGGCCGAAGACUCUACCAUUGCAGUCCCGACUGACCAGGAAGGUCCUAAUAUCAGCGCACAGCUUCCCCUUCACUGCAGACAAGCUGAAAUUGGCCAAAUGUCGAUUGCAGUCUCUCUCUCUAUGGAUCUCAGCAUUUUUGGACAGAAUUUAGGAUAUUGUUAGAGCCGGGAUCUCCUCUGAAGGACUGAGUACAUUUGUGUUCGUGGACACAAUCUUUGGAGAAGUUCAUUUAUUUCCAAAGGUGGACAAAAACAGUGUGUUGUCUUCUUUUUUUUUUUUUUUUUUUAUGAAUUUAGAGGAGAACAUUGAUAAUAAGAAGAAAUGUUUCUUGAACAGUCUUCUUUCAAAAACAUUAAGACACUUAAGUGCUUUUGGCCACUAGUGUACAUUAAUCAAUUUUUGAAUGAUUUUGAAAGUGGGGUUAUGUGUCAUGUUUCCUAAUGAGAUUGAGAAAAUAACUGUUUUGUCCUGUGUUGGACAUUUCAUUUUUGACUGCUUAAAAAUGUAUUUAUAUUUUGCAGUUUUAUGAAUGUAAUUUUUGAUAUUUAAUUAUAAUAUUUUUUGACAAUAAGCUAAACAACCAUUGACUUUACAUCAUUUUUAUGUCAUUUUAUAUUUUUAACACAUCCUUUCCAGCAUUGGCAGACUGUUUAUUUUGUGAUAUAUAUGCAAUGUUUUAAAUAAAAAAUAAAAUGAUAUUUUGGAAUAAUUUUGUGUGAAUUGUAUCUCAGUAGUACUUAAUUAAAUUAAUUCUAUAAUUAAUUCUAUAUAAAAAUUAUGAAAUCUAUAUUUAGGACAAAUAAUUACAGUAGUGUACUGAUUACCUGGGUUUUUUACAGUAAUUGCACCGCAUUACAUAAUUACAGUACCAUGUAGUUACUGUAAAACUGAAAUACGGUGAUAGUACUGUAAAUCUUAAUUACAGUAACUUACUGGCAACAGUGUUGCCAGUAAGUUACUGUAAAAACCCCUUGAAAUGUCUAACAGUGAAUAACUGAACUUGUUAAAAAGGCAAUAAUUUAUUUGUAAAAAUAAAUUUGUAUUUGUAUUUAUAAUCCUACAAAUGUAACACUCAUAUUUAUCAUCUGGUUUGAAACAAUUAGUGUGGAUGAAAUAUAUAAAUCAAAUAUAAAUCACCUGCAGUGUGUCCACAGUGGAUGUUUAAAAUCAGCACUAAAAACACAAAGAGAAAAACUCAUUACAGUGUAAGCUGAUAAAACUGUUUUAUACAUCAGACAUGUUAUAACAGUAUAUUUUUCUUUGCUUGUGGAACACCAUUUUAUGCUUAAAUGUUCUCAAAUGUUCUCAUUUUGGUUUGUCUAAUUUGUCUAGAACUAAAGUCACCUGUACAAGUGCAUAUGAUGAUUUGGUGAAAAUAUGAUGUAACAUAAGUACAUAUAAAAUUUAAUUACAAAGAUUUGUACAAAUGUCCAGCUUAAUUUGUCCAGAAUAGGUUUCGAGUGGUUUUAAGUUUAAGGAACCUGAGAUAAAAAAAAAAAAAAAAAUAAAAAAAAAAAAAAAAAAAAAAACACAUUCGCCACUCUGAAUGAGGAUCAGAUGUCGUAGCUGCGUCGGAGAGAGAGGGCUAUUGUCCUCUGAUAUUCCCUCUGAUCAAUGCUUUCCUGGGUCACGCAAUGGACUCAAGUGGAAUACUCCACCCUGUCCUGUGCAUGUGUGGCUGGAUGAUUGAGAAUGAAGAGCUUAGGAAGCAUGGAAGGCAGACUGCCAAAAUCUGCUUCAAAAGUCAGGGGGUUUGUGGGGAUUCCCCAGGUGGAGUGUGUAAUUGCAAAGUGCCGGCCAUCCAGCGCUUGUGCGAUGACGGCAGCUCUGGAUGCUAAGCCUCACAGUGCCGCUGGACAGGCCACCUCUGCCUUGCAUGUGACAGCCGUCCUGCAGGCCAAAGCACUCAAGGGUUGUUCUGAACCAGGGUUAAUGCAGGAGCUGUGCACGGUAACUGACCCUGCCCUCCGGCCGAUAAAAGUCACGGUGCAGGCCCUUGGCCAGACGCACAUGACAUGCAAUUAAAAAAAAUUUAAUUGUGCGCACGAUUUACUAUUUCGUUCCCUCGAAUUAUAAAUCAUGUGCAUGAUUUAUAAAUCAAGGGAACGAAAUAGUAAAUAUUUAACCUACUAUUUUUUUCAUGCAUGUAAUGUCCAGGGCUCCGUAAUUUCCCCCAUAUGUCGGCUUUUUUUUUUCUUUUUUUCAAAAGUUAUUUGAAAUAUCUAAGUAAACACUUUACUUGCAUUUAACAUGUUUUUUAUGUAUAUAAAAUUACUUUUGUAAAUUUUAUUUGAUGCAGACACCAAAAUGGUGACAUCUCAUCUUUCACCCAUAUAUAACCACAGGACUGAAUUGAAAGUAAAAAAAAAAAAAAUUAAAUAGAGCAUUGAAAAAUAUGCUAAAAAAUUAAACAUGAGAAAAAGAAAACAUUUUUGUUGCAUUGUUUCUAUAUGACAUCAGUCCAUUUAUUCUGGAAACACUCUGGGACUGGAUUUUGGAAUCCAGCACCUUGAAGUUUCAUGUGUUGGAUAAAGGCGUCUCUCAUAUGCAUAAAUAUAAUGUAAUGUAACAUCCAAUGACAUAUAGAGGAAGAAUAAAUAUAGAGAAAAUAAUAAUACUCACAGAGCACAAGAAGAAGUUGACUAAGCUCCAUACUGACCCAAUAGUCUGUGUUAAAACCUCAAGACUUCAUCUACAGUAAGUAGUGAAAACUGCUUGUUUAUCAGAAACCACACCACAAGUAUUGCAUAACUUAUCCAGGGUUUAGGUCUACACAGGGGUGGAUCUAGAAAAUUAUUUAUAGGGUGGC